ACGCUGGCGGCGUGCUAACACAUGCAAGUCGAACGAUGAUAGAGAGCUUGCUUUUCUUGAUUAGUGGCGCACGGGUGAGUAAUGCAUAGAUAAUGUGCCCCUUAGUUCGGGAUAGCCACUGGAAACGGUGAUUAAUACCGGAUACUCCUUCUUGUUAUAAGACAAGUCGGGAAAGUUUUUCGCUAAGGGACCAGUCUAUGUUCCAUCAGCUUGUUGGUGAGGUAAUGGCUCACCAAGGCUAUGACGGAUAUCUGGUUUGAGAGGAUGAUCAGACACACUGGAACUGAGACACGGUCCAGACUCCUACGGGAGGCAGCAGUGAGGAAUAUUGCACAAUGGAGGAAACUCUGAUGCAGCAACGCCGCGUGGAGGAUGACGCAUUUCGGUGUGUAAACUCCUUUUAUUAGGGAAGAUAAUGACGGUACCUAAUGAAUAAGCACCGGCUAACUCCGUGCCAGCAGCCGCGGUAAUACGGAGGGUGCAAGCGUUACUCGGAAUCACUGGGCGUAAAGGGUGCGUAGGCUGGCUUUUAAGUCAGAUGUGAAAUCCAAUGGCUCAACCAUUGAACUGCAUUUGAAACUGAAAGCCUAGAGUUCAGAAGGGGCAGAUGGAAUUAGUGGUGUAGGGGUAAAAUCCGUAGAUAUCACUAGGAAUAUCAAAAGCGAAGGCGAUCUGCUGGGAUGAUACUGACG
RNAcentral lists this ribosomal RNA (692 nucleotides) under uncultured bacterium. Its description in RNAcentral is "bacterial SSU rRNA". It matches the Rfam family "Bacterial small subunit ribosomal RNA", at positions 33 to 745 of the family's 1533-position model. The record is from RNAcentral.